RNAcentral lists this long non-coding RNA (661 nucleotides) under Heterocephalus glaber (naked mole-rat). Its description in RNAcentral is "lncRNA (ENSHGLG00000049900.1)". The record is from RNAcentral. Lineage: Eukaryota; Metazoa; Chordata; Mammalia; Rodentia; Bathyergidae.
GUGAGCUGUGCCAUUCUGGCUUGAUUUCUGAUUGUGGCUCUGUCACUAGCUGGUAGUGUUAGCUUCAAUGAUUUACUCCUCUGAGGCUCAGUUUUCUUUUGUGUAAAAGGUUAUGCAGUUGAUGGAUCAAGUCUAGGAGACUGAAUGAAGUCCAUCAUGCUUCCUCAACACAUAGGGAUUGCUUCACAACCAGAAAGAGCUCUUAAUUUUGCAGGGAACUAUGGCUGACAAAAGGAUCUAGAUAUUGAAGUAUCAUACCAUCCAGAGGAAACUGAGAGACUCAACUGCAGUUCAGGUGUCCAUCUCUUCUAAGAUGCCAAAGACACACUGAUAUGUUUGUGUUUGUUGACUUCUUUCUUUCCAUACCCCUGAAGAUCAUACUAUAUUUGCAAAUGUGAAAGAUUAGCUUGUCUCUUUUGUUAUAGGCCAGUUUCAAGUGUGCAACAAAGCCACAAAGAUUGACCUUGGGUAACUCAAAAUUACUGACAAUAAGUUUAAAGAUCAUCUCAAGCAGAAUGACUAUGGUAGUUGAUUAAGUAUUGCUAUUGUGUGCUCAUUCUUAAUAUUUAGAUACUCAAUGUAUGACUUUAUAUUAUAGUGCUGAAUGUAUUGACUCUAGGCUAGUAUAUAUUUCUGACAAAUAAAAUUUCACUCAAAAGGC